This is a non-coding RNA of Oncorhynchus mykiss (rainbow trout), 746 nucleotides long. The record is from RefSeq and is a predicted model, not a curated record. Lineage: Eukaryota; Metazoa; Chordata; Actinopteri; Salmoniformes; Salmonidae.
UACCUCACGGAAUGUGGAAAGAGACCGUUUGUAAUAUGUUUAAUCUAACAAUUUUGCGAGAAAGGGAAAAGUGUCUGUAGCCUAUUGUGAAAUGCAAAGUUUUACAAUAUGUAAUCAUUUUUCAUGCAUUUGCAACAUUGUUGUGCUUGAGCGCAGUUUACCCAGAGUACACCGGGAAACGGGCAGAGGAACAUGGCGCAGGGUCGACGAGGAGGACGCUGAACAAUUGAGGAUUACAUUCCGUGGAUAUUUCGGAGAUCAUGCUGAAAUCCUAAAAUGAGAAUGUGAAAUGGUUUCACUCCCGAAAUCUUGGAUAUCUACCACUGCCCCUUUGAUGAAUAAUAGGAAAACGCCUCUCAGGAAUACCUGCAAUUGCAUUCAUAAACAUUUUUUUAGGACUUACAAACCCUGAGCAUUGUUUUUUAUUCACAAACGUCACAUUUUCAUCUAAAUAUUACAUGGGAAAAUGGCUGAGAGAAAUAAAAUGAUUAUAGAGGUCCCACAAGGAGUUGAUAGACUUCGAGUGGAGCAUAAAAAGGUGGUGCAAGGCUGUGAAGGUCAGAUCCAGCACUGGGCGAAGGUAAAGGGUGACUAUGAAACCCUCGAGGAUCGACUCAAAACUCUUCCAGAUCAGGUGUCCUAUGACAUCAUGGUACGUUCCAUCUUUCUCUUAUCAAAUCAAAGUUUAUUGGUUGCGCACACAGAUUUGCAGAUGUUAUCGCAGGUGCAACAAAAUGCAAUAACAA